RNAcentral lists this long non-coding RNA (1219 nucleotides) under Homo sapiens (human). RNAcentral's name for it is "HSALNT0295432". Lineage: Eukaryota; Metazoa; Chordata; Mammalia; Primates; Hominidae. The record is from RNAcentral.
GCUGCUGCAACCCGCUGCCCUCUGGUGUCCUGCUGUGGGAGCUUUGUUCUUUCACUCUCGUAAUAAGUCUUGCUGCUGCUCACUCUUUGGGUCCGCACUGUCUCUGUGAGCUGUAACACUCACCGCGAGGUUCUGUGCCUUCGUUCUUUAAGUCAGGGAGACCACGAACCCACCGGGAGGAACAAACAACUGUGAUGCGCCAUCUUUAAGAGCUGUAACAUUCACCGCCGGGGUCUGCGGCUUCAUUCCUGGAGUGAGUGAGACCACGAACCCACCAGAAGGAAGAAACUCUGGACCCAUCUGAACAGCUGAAGGAACAAACUCCGGACACACCAUCUUUAAGAACUGUAACACUCACCGGGAGUCUCCGUGGCUUCAUUCUUGAAGACAGCGAGACCAAGAACCCACCAGAAGGAAUGAAUUCCGCACACAGCAACAGCACAAAGUUAAACCAGGAAGUCCCUCUGCCUUGCUAGGGAUCCAGGUUUGCCUUCCUGUUGAGGUAUCCCAUUUCAUUACAGUUGACCUAAGUUUGAACAAACACUGCCACCUGAUGCAUGAAAGCUCUACUGUGACCUACGUUAAAAGGAGCUGACACUCCCUCAGGCUACCUUAGUCAGUGGGGGCUUACUGCAGCAUACCUGUGGCGAUGAGAGAGAGAGGCACAUCACAGGAGCAUCUGGCACCAGUGGCAUCCUGAGUGAGAAGACAUACAGCAAAAGAGAUGAAACAGAAGAAGCAGAGUCAGAGAGAUCCAAAACACGAAGGACACAAUGUGCCAUUGCUGUCUUUGAAGGGAGCCAUGAGCUGGGGAAUCCUGGCAGCCUCUGGAGGCUGAGAAUGACCUAUGAUUGACAGCCAGAAAAGCAAGUGGGGCUCAUGUCCUUCUGCUACAUAGAACUAAAUUCUCCUGACAACCUGAAUGAGCCUAGAAAAAGAUUCUCUUCUAGAGCCUUCAGAAGGAAACGCAAUCCUGCUAAUACCUUAAUUGUAGUCUUUUGAGAAACCAAGCCAAGGAAUAAGUCAAGCCAUGCUGUACUUGGAUUUCUGACCUGGAGAACUGUGAGAUAAUAAAAUUUGUGGUGUUUAAAGCUGCUAAAUUUGUGAUAAUUUGUUAUAGUUUCUCAGCUGGGGUACUCAGGACAUAUUUAGUCUCUAUCAUACAUGAGACAUAUUUGAGUUCUAUCUAUAUUCCCUACUGCUUGGACUUCUGAACAUU